Molecule: ribosomal RNA, 1400 nt
Filed under: metagenome
Description: bacterial SSU rRNA
Rfam family: Bacterial small subunit ribosomal RNA
Source: RNAcentral
GGAUUUGGUAGCUUGCUACCAAAUUAGUGGCGAACGGGUGAGUAACACGUGGGAAUCUGCCCCUUAGUAAGGAAUAACAGUUAGAAAUGACUGCUAAUACCGUAUAAGCCCUACGGGGGAAAGGUCUUCGGAUCGCUGAAGGAUGAGCCUGCGUAUGAUUAGCUAGUUGGUGGGGUAAAUGCCUACCAAGGCUGUGAUCUUUAGCCGGUCUGAGAGGAUGAUCGGUCACACUGGAACUGAGAUACGGUCCAGACUCCUACGGGAGGCAGCAGUGGGGAAUUUUGGACAAUGGACGAAAGUCUGAUUCAGCGAUACCACGUGAAUGAUGAAGGCCUUAGGGUUGUAAAGUUCUUUUGACAGAGAUAAUAAUGAUAGUAUCUGUAGAAAAAGCACCGGCUAACUUCGUGCCAGCAGCCGCGGUAAUACGAAGGGUGCAAGCGUUGCUCGGAAUUAUUGGGCGUAAAGCGUAUGUAGGUGGUUUUAUAAGUUAGUAGUGAAAUACCGGGGCUUAACUUCGGUGCUGCUACUAAUACUAUAAGGCUAGAGUUAGGUAGAGGAUAGUGGAAUUCCUAGUGUAGAGGUAGAAUUCGUAGAUAUUAGGAGGAACGCCGGAAGCGAAGGCUGCUAUCUGGGCCUGUACUGACACUGAGAUACGAAAGUGUGGGGAGCAAACAGGAUUAGAUACCCUGGUAGUCCACACUGUAAACGAUGAGUGCUAGGUGUUGGGGCAAUUAUGCUUCAGUGCCGAAGUUAACACGAUAAGCAUUCCGCCUGGGGAGUACGGCCGCAAGGUUAAAACUCAAAGGAAUUGACGGGGAUCCGCACAAGUGGUGGAGCAUGCGGUUUAAUUCGAUGAUACGCGAAAAACCUUACCAAUCUUUGACAUGUACACAGCGGAUGAUGGAGACAUCAUCUUGAUUUAGUUCGGUGUACACAGGUGUUGCAUGGCUGUCGUCAGCUCGUGUCGUGAGAUGUUGGGUUAAGUCCCGCAACGAGCGCAACCCUCGCCCUAUUUUGCCAACAGGUAAUGCUGGGAACUAUUAGGGUACUGCCGGUGUUGAGCCGGAGGAAGGCGAGGAUGACGUCAAGUCAUCAUGGCCCUUAUGGAUUGGGCUACACGCGUGCUACAAUGGCUUCCACAAAGAGACGCAAUCCCGCGAGGAGGAGCAAAUCUCAAAAAAGAAGUCUCAGUUCAGAUUGCACUCUGCAACUCGAGUGCAUGAAGUUGGAAUCACUAGUAAUCACAGGUCAGCAUACUGUGGUGAAUACGUUCUCGGGUCUUGUACACACCGCCCGUCACGCGAUGGGAGUCGGUUCUGCUUGAAACCGGUGAGCUAACCAGAAAUGGAGGCAGCCGUCUAUGGUGGAGUUGGCGACUGGCGUGAAGUCGUAACAAGGUA